This 497-nucleotide ribosomal RNA is filed under the name uncultured bacterium. Its description in RNAcentral is "partial 16S ribosomal RNA". It matches the Rfam family "Bacterial small subunit ribosomal RNA", at positions 28 to 507 of the family's 1533-position model. The record is from RNAcentral.
GAUGAACGCUGGCGGCGUGCCUAAUACAUGCAAGUCGAGCGAACAGAUAAGGAGCUUGCUCCUUUGACGUUAGCGGCGGACGGGUGAGUAACACGUGGGUAACCUACCUAUAAGACUGGGAUAACUUCGGGAAACCGGAGCUAAUACCGGAUAACAUUUGGAACCGCAUGGUUCUAAAGUGAAAGAUGGUUUUGCUAUCACUUAUAGAUGGACCCGCGCCGUAUUAGCUAGUUGGUAAGGUAACGGCUUACCAAGGCGACGAUACGUAGCCGACCUGAGAGGGUGAUCGGCCACACUGGAACUGAGACACGGUCCAGACUCCUACGGGAGGCAGCAGUAGGGAAUCUUCCGCAAUGGGCGAAAGCCUGACGGAGCAACGCCGCGUGGGUGAUGAAGGGUUUCGGCUCGUAAAACUCUGUUAUUAGGGAAGAACAAAUGUGUAAGUAACUGUGCACGUCUUGACGGUACCUAAUCAGAAAGCCACGGCUAACUACGUG